AUUGAACGCUGGCGGCAGGCCUAACACAUGCAAGUCGAGCGGAUGAAGGGAGCUUGCUCCUGGAUUCAGCGGCGGACGGGUGAGUAAUGCCUAGGAAUCUGCCUGGUAGUGGGGGAUAACGUCCGGAAACGGGCGCUAAUACCGCAUACGUCCUGAGGGAGAAAGUGGGGGAUUUUCGGACCUCACGCUAUCAGAUGAGCCUAGGUCGGAUUAGCUAGUUGGUGGGGUAAAGGCCUACCAAGGCGACGAUCCGUAACUGGUCUGAGAGGAUGAUCAGUCACACUGGAACUGAGACACGGUCCAGACUCCUACGGGAGGCAGCAGUGGGGAAUAUUGGACAAUGGGCGAAAGCCUGAUCCAGCCAUGCCGCGUGUGUGAAGAAGGUCUUCGGAUUGUAAAGCACUUUAAGUUGGGAGGAAGGGCAGUAAGUUAAUACCUUGCUGUUUUGACGUUACCAACAGAAUAAGCACCGGCUAACUUCGUG
RNAcentral lists this ribosomal RNA (484 nucleotides) under uncultured bacterium. Its description in RNAcentral is "partial 16S ribosomal RNA". It matches the Rfam family "Bacterial small subunit ribosomal RNA", at positions 30 to 507 of the family's 1533-position model. The record is from RNAcentral.